UAUUGGAAUUUAUUGUUUUUCUAUUUAAUUUCCUGGCUUUCCUGUUUAGUUUCUUUCCAUCUGGGUCAACAAGAUGCUUUUCAAGCACAAAUAGCAGCUCUAAGAAGAAACCAAAGCAGAUCAUUUUCAUCUCUAUAUCAAUUACCAGAAUAAUUCUUGUAAGCCUAUUCAUGACCUUGUACAUGCUGAAGAAGAGGGAGAAGCAGCUAAAGAGAAAAGGGAGCAAGGGAAUGUCCUGACUUGAUUUGAUAAAGGAUGAAUUGAUCGAGGCUUGGAAAUGGGUCAAGUUCAGGUUUUCUGUGUAUACAAUUGAUGUAUGGUAUAAUUCUUCAUCCCAUUCCCCCUUUUGCAGGAAAUAUGGAACACGAUUCAGGAGGUGAGACUAAUGAAAGCCAGGAGCAUCUAGAGUUACUAUCAUUUGACUGGCCACAUUAUUGAAUGCCACCAAUAAAUUUUCAAUCAACAUUAAGCAUGGAGAGGGUAGUUUUGGAUCUGUCUACAAGGGGCUAGUGCAAGAGGGACAAGAAAUAGCUGUGAAGAGGCUGUCUAAAAAUUCUAGACAAGGAUUGAAUGAGUUCAAAAAUGAAGUUGGAUCCAUUGCAGACCUUCCGCAGUCGAAAAUUUUGUAAAGCUUCUUGGAUGCUGAUCUAUGAGUACAUGCCCAACAAAAUCUUGGAUCUGUUCAUUUCUGGUUUGGCUCUCUAAAACCCCUAUACGUUUUGCUUGAUUAGUCGAGUGACUUCUCUUUUGUUUCUCUUUUCUCUUAUGCAUGCUAGGGAAAUUCUUUAUUUACAAUGGAUUUGACCAAAUCCUAAGAAAAAUUG
Long non-coding RNA from Vitis riparia (riverbank grape), 824 nucleotides. RefSeq lists it as uncharacterized. The transcript has 3 exons. The record is from RefSeq and is a predicted model, not a curated record. Lineage: Eukaryota; Viridiplantae; Streptophyta; Magnoliopsida; Vitales; Vitaceae.